RNAcentral lists this small nuclear RNA (18 nucleotides) under Arabidopsis thaliana (thale cress). RNAcentral describes it as "snRNA_04991". The record is from RNAcentral. Lineage: Eukaryota; Viridiplantae; Streptophyta; Magnoliopsida; Brassicales; Brassicaceae.
UAAGCCCUUGAACAGUCG